This 497-nucleotide ribosomal RNA is filed under the name uncultured bacterium. RNAcentral describes it as "partial 16S ribosomal RNA". It matches the Rfam family "Bacterial small subunit ribosomal RNA", at positions 28 to 507 of the family's 1533-position model. The record is from RNAcentral.
GAUGAACGCUGGCGGCGUGCCUAAUACAUGCAAGUCGAGCGAACAGACGAGGAGCUUGCUCCUCUGACGUUAGCGGCGGACGGGUGAGUAACGCGUGGAUAACCUACCUAUAAGACUGGGAUAACUUCGGGAAACCGGAGCUAAUACCGGAUAAUAUAUUGAACCGCAUGGUUCAAUAGUGAAAGACGGUUUUGCUGUCACUUAUAGAUGGAUCCGCGCCGCAUUAGCUAGUUGGUAAGGUAACGGCUUACCAAGGCAACGAUGCGUAGCCGACCUGAGAGGGUGAUCGGCCACACUGGAACUGAGACACGGUCCAGACUCCUACGGGAGGCAGCAGUAGGGAAUCUUCCGCAAUGGGCGAAAGCCUGACGGAGCAACGCCGCGUGAGUGAUGAAGGUCUUCGGAUCGUAAAACUCUGUUAUUAGGGAAGAACAAAUAUGUAAGUAACUAUGCACGUCUUGACGGUACCUAAUCAGAAAGCCACGGCUAACUACGUG